UCGGGAAUUUUGGGCAAUGGGCGAAAGCCUGACCCAGCAACGCCGCGUGAAGGAUGAAGUAUCUCGGUAUGUAAACUUCGAAAGAAUAGGAAGAAUAAAUGACGGUACUAUUUAUAAGGUCCGGCUAACUACGUGCCAGCAGCCGCGGUAAUACGUAGGGACCAAGCGUUGUUCGGAUUUACUGGGCGUAAAGGGCGCGUAGGCGGCAUGACAAGUCACUUGUGAAAUCUCUGGGCUUAACCCAGAACGGCCAAGUGAUACUGUCGCGCUAGAGUGCAGAAGGGGCAAUCGGAAUUCUUGGUGUAGCGGUGAAAUGCGUAGAUAUCAAGAGGAACACCUGAGGUGAAGACGGGUUGCUGGGCUGACACUGACGCUGAGGCGCGAAAGCCAGGGGAGCAAACGGGAUUAGAUACCCAGGUAGUCCCUGAGCGGGCUGGCAAGGCGCAU
This 447-nucleotide ribosomal RNA is filed under the name uncultured bacterium. RNAcentral describes it as "bacterial SSU rRNA". It matches the Rfam family "Bacterial small subunit ribosomal RNA", at positions 355 to 825 of the family's 1533-position model. The record is from RNAcentral.